UACAGAGGUCUCAAGCGUUGUUCGGAUUCAUUGGGCGUAAAGGGUGCGUAGGUGGCGAGGUUAGUCAGGUGUGAAAUCUCGGGGCUCAACCCCGAAACUGCACUUGAUACUGCCUUGCUAGAGUACUGGAGAGGAGAUUGGAAUUUACGGUGUAGCAGUGAAAUGCGUAGAUAUCGUAAGGAAGACCAGUGGCGAAGGCGGGUCUCUGGACAGUUCCUGACGCUGAGGCACGAAGGUCAGGGGAGCAAACGGG
RNAcentral lists this ribosomal RNA (253 nucleotides) under uncultured bacterium. Its description in RNAcentral is "partial 16S ribosomal RNA". It matches the Rfam family "Bacterial small subunit ribosomal RNA", at positions 524 to 776 of the family's 1533-position model. The record is from RNAcentral.